This is a long non-coding RNA of Columba livia (rock pigeon), 4226 nucleotides long. RefSeq lists it as uncharacterized. Lineage: Eukaryota; Metazoa; Chordata; Aves; Columbiformes; Columbidae. The record is from RefSeq and is a predicted model, not a curated record. The transcript has 2 exons.
CCCGCAGCCGGCGCGGCGGGCGGCGCGCUGCGCGUGCGCGGGGAAGAGGCGGGGAGGGCCUGGGGCGGCGCGCGCAGCCCGCUCUCCUCGCGGCUCUGUGAGGGACCGGCGGCCCGAGUGUGUGUGUCACCCGUGUUCGUGAAGAACAACUCCCCACACUGAGCACCACGAGAAUUUCCUACCUUCACUGUUUGAGAAAAGGAUUAUGAAGAGAACAUGCUCUACGCCUGCCAUUCAGGUGUGUAGAUCAACAGCUUACGGACCUUCCAGGACCCGCAGCAGCCGCUGGCGCCAGGCAUUUCAUAGCGGAACAUGGAAGGAAUGAGAAACAACAGUAAAAAUGUGGGAUUGAUAGUGGAUAGAGGACAUUUUUCCGUCCUGAGCACAGAGGAGUAUUCACACAGGCUGCCCAGACUCUGCAGUCUCUCCUGGAGUUUAAGGCUGAUUAAAUAAAGCCCCUGUCAGACCUGGCGGGUGACCCUGCUGUGAGCCCUUCAACCCAAAUUAUCCUGUCAUGUGGGGCUGCUCAUUUGUAAUGGCUUGCAACCAGAGGAAGCAAAAUUGUCAUUGUUAGCAAUCCUUAAUUACUUAAAUGUUUAUAGAGAAGUUUAUCCAGAGCUGGUCUUUCUUUCCAGUUUCAGCCUCAUGUUAUAGUGAAUUAACACAAUUACACACAAAAGCACCCCGUUAACCGAAUCAGCCAGGUUACGUAUCACAGCUACUCGUAUUUAAAUGAAAGAUCUGAAGUGUUUUUAUCUCAGCUCUCCUUCUCUGAGGUGAAAGUUGGCCCUCACGCUGGGCUGCCACACUGCCUCAGGGAGCAUUGCCUGGUUCUGGCGCUUUCCGCAGUGUCCUGGGUUUUCUUGGCAAGUCUCUCAUCCAAGUCAUGACCAAUCCUUGGACCCUGCUUCAUUCCUCCAUUUCACAAACUGCUGCCCGUGGUGACAGAACAGCAGGUAAUGCUGCAUUGUAAUGAAGAAAUGCCAUAAACCCGCCUCUCGGGAAGCACGGAGCUGGUAUUCGCAUUCCUAUUCUGGCUACACAUUUCUCCUAGAAACUUAUUUUCACACCCUUUCCGUUGCCCCGGACUUUAUAUUGUCAACAUAAACUGUGGAUUUUUACUAAUGUAUUUAUCCUCUUAUGGUUGAAACACAAAAGGAAAUCACAGCACCAGCUUUAGAGAAAACAAAGAGCUCCUGCAUUGGAGCUCUGGAUGCAGGGGUUUCUGGGGAGAACAACCUGAAAUGUGAUUCAACAGCAGCCACGUGUCACUGAGCCUCUUCCGCAGCUUCUGGCGUUCUGAUCGAAAUUCUCUUGUUCCCAGGAAGCGGAAAAUUGAAUUGGGUAUCUGUGCAAAUGAGGAUCGAAUUGCACCUCUCCUCCGUAUGAAGAAAUUAUUUCACAGUAUGUUUGGGAUUGGAAGGGACCUCAAAAGAUCAUCCAGUGCAAUCCCCCCAUGGAGCAGGAACACCCAGAUGAGGUUACACAGGAAGGUGUCCAGGCGGGUUGGAAUGUCUGCAGAGAAGGAGACUCCACAACCCCCCUGGGCAGCCUGUUCAGUGCUCUGUCACCCUCACUGAGAAGAAGUUUUUUCUCAAAUUUAAGCGGAACCUCUUGUGUUCCAGCUUGAUCCCAUUACCCCUUGUCCUAUCAUUGUUUGCCACCGAGAAGAGCCUGGCUCCAUCCUCAUGGCACUCACCCUUUAUAUAUUUAUAAACAUUAAUGAGGUCCCCCCUUAGUCUCCUCUUCUCCAAACUAAAGAGCCCCAGCUCCCUCAGCCUUUCUUCAUAAGGGAGAUGCUCCACUCCCUUAAUCAUCUUCGUUGCCCUACGCUGGACCCUCUCCAGCAGUUCCCUGUCCUUCUGGAACUGAGGGGCCACAACUGGACACAAUAUUCCAGAUGUGGUCUCACCAGGGUGGAGUAGAGGGGAAGGAGGACCUCUCUCGAUCUACUAGCCACCCCCCUUCUAAUCCACCCCAGGAUGCCAUUGGCCUUCCUGGCCACAAGGGCCCAGUGCUGGCUCAUGGUCAUCCUGCUGUCCCCAGGACCCCCAGGUCCCUUUCCCCUACACUGCUCUCUAAUAUGUAAUUUCCCAACCUAUACUGGAACCUGGGGUUGUUCCUGCCCAGAUGCAGGACUCUACACUUUCCCUUGUUAAAUUUCAUCAGGUUAUUCCCCGCCCAACUCUCCAGCCUGUCCAGGUCUCUGGAUGGCAGCACAGCCUUCUGGCUUCGGGUCAGUUCUGUUCUCCUCGGUGGCAGGUAGAGGUGAAAUACUGUCACUCUUCAAUCUCUGUCUUUAAUACACGCCUGUAAUAAAAUGACUGGACAAUUCCCAGGUGUGGGUGCUGCUUGAGCCUUGAAAACGUGCGUGGGGACACGCUCACACUGUGUGAACGUGAGAACACCGAAUUCUCAGCUGCAUUCACUUGGGGUACAAUUCUCGGCGUCACCCAAGUGAUACAAGACAGGUGUUUUUUUCUGCACGAGGAGGACCAGUAAAUGCUCAUGUGCAUUUGGAGGUGUUACUUUUGCAUAUAUAUAUUUUAGGUGAAGCUGAUUAAACUGAUGUCCAUGAAAGAGUUGUGUGCAAGAAUUUUAAAUAGCUCCUGCUUUUUAAUAUUCACUUCCUCUUUGGUUUUAAUUAUUUUGUUCCUACAUUUUCCCUUUCAAUUUACUAAAAGUCUAGAAAUGUAAUUAGAGAGAGGCUGAACUCAGAGAAAGCUGCCAGCAUUUCUACAUCAUGAUUAAAUAUAUCAGCCAUCCCUUUAGUGAGAGAGUGAAAAACAGGAUUCUCAUAAUUAUCUCCCUGUUAUCCAGGAAAGAAUCUGCAACACGUACCGAUACAGAGUUAUUGAAAAUGCAGCACUAAUUAAAAUCUCAUACAGGCUCCUGAUGAUCAGGAGAGUAUGAAAACACAGUUAUUUAAUUAUUUCCUGUAUUUGCCAUCUUUGUUACCAAAACAAACAAAACCAUUCUAAACAAAACCCAUCUCCAAUCACUGGGGAGACUUAAUGAGGCUUUUAUAUAUGCAACAGUCACACAAACAUGGCAAGCUGCUCGAUUCACCUCUCCUUUCCCAGGGAGACAGCUACGGAACUCGCUUUCCAUCUGUGAUGCAAAACGAACGCUGUGGUAUAUUCAAAAUCAGUCGUGGAAUCGUUACGUGGUUUGAGGAUAUGGAUACUGUUCAUUAGUUUUAAGACCAGAAAAAGAAUCUUGAUAUGAUAGGCUUUUAUGGUUUCAUUGUGAAAUAGCAACAUUUGUGUCACAGCCAAUUAAAAAUCUAGUGUCUAAGAGGUUAUUGCUCCAGCCUGACCUCUGCGGGGUCUCUCCAUCGUCUAACCCAGGCCAAACCCCUCGUGCUCCCACCCAGCCCAGUGCGGAGCCCUCGUUGUUAUUUCCGAUCGCUCUGGUCCGAGGAGCUUUGGCAGCGCCAAGAAGCAGAGGACACGAGCGCUGAUCCGCGUUGUGAUGGAAGGAAACGCUCCGAGGUGCUGGCUGCUUUGAACCACGGGAGCUGAGCAUCCUCCGGGACCAGAGACUGGGAACUUUUGCACUCCUGUUCCUCAACGUUUAAUUUGCAACAGAAUAGCAAGUACUGAGCUGGACAGAGCCCAGUGCCCUCGCUUUUCCUUCACUAUAAACAAUCUCCAGUGCUGCAUGGAGUAGGAGGGUACGUCUACACCAGCUCCUGCUUUCCCACCUGCAGGUCCCAUGGCACCUCUUGUCCCUUGGAGACAAGAGGGGAAAGUCGCUCUAGCACAGCCACCCCGUACAUACAGCGUUAAAUUCAGUACAAAACAUCAUUCUUGUCAGAAUUUGCUUUCCUGACUUCAAAAUACUGUAAGAUAACUGAGUCAUUGUUGCUGUGAUUAAAAACCGCUUUUACUUGUGAGAAAACAAACACUGUUUAAAAAAAUCUUGACCUCCUUUGGAAAAACUCUGACUUGGUGAUUUUAAUUGCAGGGAAUCUGUUCAUAGCGCUAUUUUUACAGGUAUUGGAAAAGUAUCAAAGCUAAUUUUUUUAGAAGGGGAAAUUAUACUUUAAAAUGCACUAUUGUGAGAAAGUGGCUCCCUAAUGCCUUUGAGUUGGUGCUUUGUUUCUCGUUAGAAACGUCUCCUGUCUUCCCUGAUGAGCCUGCUCUUGUUUUCGGCGCUGGUUUGCUUUAAGAUGCUUUUGAUCCUGUAUUCAUUAAAACCUGAUCCUGCUGCUUCCCACCAGC